GCGAUCAUACCAGCCUUAAUGCACCGGAUUCCAUCAGAACUCCGAAGUUUAGCGUGCUUGGGCGAGAGCAGCACUAGGAUGGGUGACCUCCUAAGAAGUCCUUGUGUUGCACCU
This 114-nucleotide ribosomal RNA is filed under the name Zingiber officinale. The record is from RNAcentral. Lineage: Eukaryota; Viridiplantae; Streptophyta; Magnoliopsida; Zingiberales; Zingiberaceae.